GCCUCGAUAGCUCAGUUGGUAGAGCGGCGGAUUGAAGAUCCGCGCGUCGGUGGUUCGACUCCAUCUCGUGGCACCA
RNAcentral lists this transfer RNA (76 nucleotides) under Epibacterium sp. DP7N7-1. Its description in RNAcentral is "tRNA-Phe". It matches the Rfam family "tRNA". Rfam says of the family: Transfer RNA (tRNA) molecules are approximately 80 nucleotides in length. Their secondary structure includes four short double-helical elements and three loops (D, anti-codon, and T loops). Further hydrogen bonds mediate the characteristic L-shaped molecular structure. tRNAs have two regions of fundamental functional importance: the anti-codon, which is responsible for specific mRNA codon recognition, and the 3' end, to which the tRNAs corresponding amino acid is attached (by aminoacyl-tRNA synthetases). tRNAs cope with the degeneracy of the genetic code in two manners: having more than one tRNA (with a specific anti-codon) for a particular amino acid; and 'wobble' base-pairing, i.e. permitting non-standard base-pairing at the 3rd anti-codon position. The record is from RNAcentral. Lineage: Bacteria; Pseudomonadati; Pseudomonadota; Alphaproteobacteria; Rhodobacterales; Roseobacteraceae.